This 102-nucleotide ribosomal RNA is filed under the name Echinops telfairi (small Madagascar hedgehog). Lineage: Eukaryota; Metazoa; Chordata; Mammalia; Afrosoricida; Tenrecidae. The record is from RNAcentral.
GCCUGCUGCCAUACCACCCUGAAUACCUUGAUCUCAGAACCAAGCAGGUUUGGGCCUGGAUAGUACUUGGAUGGGAGAAUGGAGGCUUUGUUGUGGAGCACU